AGCGAACGCUGGCGGCAGGCCUAACACAUGCAAGUCGAACGGCAGCAUAGUAAGAGCUUGCUCUUACGGGCGGCGAGUGGCGGACGGGUGAGGAAUAUAUCGGAAUCUACUCUUUCGUGGGGGCUAACGUAGGGAAACUUACGCUAAUACCGCAUAUGACCUACGGGUGAAAGCAGGGGUUCUUCGGACCUUGUGCGAUUGAAUGAGCCGAUGUUGGAUUAGCUAGUUGGCGGGGUAAAGGCCAACCAAGGCGACGAUCCAUAGCUGGUCUGAGAGGGUGAUCAGCCACACUGGAACUGAGACACGGCCCAGACUCCUACGGGAGGCAGCAGUGGGGAAUAUUGGGCAAUGGGCGCAAGCCUGAUCCAGCCAUACCGCGUGAGUGAAGAAGGCCUUCGGGUUGUAAAGCCCUGUUGUUAGGAAAGAAAAGCAGCAGAUUAACACCCCACUGUACUGACGGUACCCAAAGAAUAAGCACCGGCUAACUUCGUG
RNAcentral lists this ribosomal RNA (492 nucleotides) under uncultured bacterium. Its description in RNAcentral is "partial 16S ribosomal RNA". It matches the Rfam family "Bacterial small subunit ribosomal RNA", at positions 29 to 507 of the family's 1533-position model. The record is from RNAcentral.